ACUCUUCACAGACAGCGUCAAAGCUAGACUGGAGGAUCCAAGAGACAAAUGCGCUGGAAAAGUGUCACUGUUUUACGCUGGGAAUUGGACACCCAUCUGCCAAGACAGUCUUGAUACAAACCUUAAAAAUGCAAUCUGCAAGGAACUAUUUUGUGGGACGAGCAUAAAGGACACAUAUGAUUUGAUUUCGCUUGAAGAGUCUAAAUCCAGAGGACUAUCAAGAAUUACAUGUCUGGAUAGUGCCAACUCUGUUUCCAAAUGUGACCUCAAAGGGAUUUCAGAGAAAGAAUGUAUUGUUGGCUAUCUGAAAUGCACAGAUUGGGAACGAUUGCUCCUCUAUAAUAAGGAAGGUGAAUGCAGUGGUCCAGUAUAUGGUCUGCGAGAUGGGAACACACAGCAAGUCAGCGGGCUUGGAUGGGGCAGAGAGGAAGGACAAAAGCUGUGCGAGUAUCUACAGUGUGGAAAUUACAUAUCACACUCCACUAUAAUCAAAAACACGAAAGACUGGUGGAAGAAGACCUAUAAUUGCUCAGGGAAGAAUAAUAUUUGGGAAUGCGAGAGCAAUGAUCAGCCCAUCCAGAAUCAGCAGCAGUUAAACAUCCAGUGUGACCGUAAAUCUCCGAACAUUAUGCUCUCAAACAACUGCACAGGCGAGGUGCUCAUAGAUAAAGAGCAUGUUUGUGCAUCCCAGUGGGAUGAUGGGAUGUCCAACAAGUUAUGUGACAGCCUCAAUUGUGGUAAGGCCAUCUACAGCUGGCCCACAGUCUCUGCUAAAAAAAAUCG
This 783-nucleotide long non-coding RNA is filed under the name Sinocyclocheilus grahami. RNAcentral describes it as "lncRNA (ENSSGRG00000041378.1)". Lineage: Eukaryota; Metazoa; Chordata; Actinopteri; Cypriniformes; Cyprinidae. The record is from RNAcentral.